This 370-nucleotide ribosomal RNA is filed under the name uncultured bacterium. RNAcentral describes it as "bacterial SSU rRNA". It matches the Rfam family "Bacterial small subunit ribosomal RNA", at positions 975 to 1353 of the family's 1533-position model. The record is from RNAcentral.
CAGGACUUGACAUCCCGAUGACCGUUCCUUAACCGGAACUUCUUUACGGAGCAUCGGUGACAGGUGGUGCAUGGUUGUCGUCAGCUCGUGUCGUGAGAUGUUGGGUUAAGUCCCGCAACGAGCGCAACCCUUGUCGUCAGUUACUAACAUUCAGUUGAGGAUUCUGGCGAGACUGCCGAGGUUAACUGGGAGGAAGUUGGGGAUGACGUCAAAUCAUCAUGCCCUUUAUGUUUGGGGCUACCCAGUUGUACAAUGGGUCGACCAAUGAGAGGCAAACCUGGAGGGGGAGCAAAUUACCAAAACCGAUCCCAUUUCGGAUUCAGGCUCAAACUCGCCCCCCGGGGGUGGAGCGGUAGAAUCGCAGGUCAGA